RNAcentral lists this ribosomal RNA (429 nucleotides) under Actinomycetes bacterium. RNAcentral's name for it is "Actinobacteria bacterium partial 16S ribosomal RNA". It matches the Rfam family "Bacterial small subunit ribosomal RNA", at positions 355 to 776 of the family's 1533-position model. Lineage: Bacteria; Bacillati; Actinomycetota; Actinomycetes. The record is from RNAcentral.
UAGGGAAUCUUCCGCAAUGGGCGAAAGCCUGACGGAGCAACGCCGCGUGAGUGAUGAAGGUCUUCGGAUCGUAAAACUCUGUUAUUAGGGAAGAACAAAUGUGUAAGUAACUAUGCACGUCUUGACGGUACCUAAUCAGAAAGCCACGGCUAACUACGUGCCAGCAGCCGCGGUAAUACGUAGGUGGCAAGCGUUAUCCGGAAUUAUUGGGCGUAAAGCGCGCGUAGGCGGUUUUUUAAGUCUGAUGUGAAAGCCCACGGCUCAACCGUGGAGGAUCAUUGGUAACUGGAAAACUUUAGUGCAGAAGUGGAAAGUGGAAUUCCAUGUGUUGCGGUGAAAUGCGCCGAGAUAUGGAGGAACACCAGUGGCGAAGGCGACUUUCUGGUCUGUAACUUCCGCUGCUGUGCGACAGCGUGGGGAUCAAACAGG